GUCGAGCGGACAGAUGGGAGCUUGCUCCCUGAUGUUAGCGGCGGACGGGUGAGUAACACGUGGGUAACCUGCCUGUAAGACUGGGAUAACUCCGGGAAACCGGGGCUAAUACCGGAUGGUUGUUUGAACCGCAUGGUUCAAACAUAAAAGGUGGCUUCGGCUACCACUUACAGAUGGACCCGCGGCGCAUUAGCUAGUUGGUGAGGUAACGGCUCACCAAGGCAACGAUGCGUAGCCGACCUGAGAGGGUGAUCGGCCACACUGGGACUGAGACACGGCCCAGACUCCUACGGGAGGCAGCAGUAGGGAAUCUUCCGCAAUGGACGAAAGUCUGACGGAGCAACGCCGCGUGAGUGAUGAAGGUUUUCGGAUCGUAAAGCUCUGUUGUUAGGGAAGAACAAGUACCGUUCGAAUAGGGCGGUACCUUGACGGUACCUAACCAGAAAGCCACGGCUAACUACGUGCCAGCAGCCGCGGUAAUACGUAGGUGGCAAGCGUUGUCCGGAAUUAUUGGGCGUAAAGGGCUCGCAGGCGGUUUCUUAAGUCUGAUGUGAAAGCCCCCGGCUCAACCGGGGAGGGUCAUUGGAAACUGGGGAACUUGAGUGCAGAAGAGGAGAGUGGAAUUCCACGUGUAGCGGUGAAAUGCGUAGAGAUGUGGAGGAACACCAGUGGCGAAGGCGACUCUCUGGUCUGUAACUGACGCUGAGGAGCGAAAGCGUGGGGAGCGAACAGGAUUAGAUACCCUGGUAGUCCACGCCGUAAACGAUGAGUGCUAAGUGUUAGGGGGUUUCCGCCCCUUAGUGCUGCAGCUAACGCAUUAAGCACUCCGCC
RNAcentral lists this ribosomal RNA (831 nucleotides) under Bacillus subtilis. RNAcentral describes it as "bacterial SSU rRNA". It matches the Rfam family "Bacterial small subunit ribosomal RNA", at positions 61 to 873 of the family's 1533-position model. The record is from RNAcentral. Lineage: Bacteria; Bacillati; Bacillota; Bacilli; Caryophanales; Bacillaceae.